This 249-nucleotide long non-coding RNA is filed under the name Gossypium barbadense (sea-island cotton). Its description in RNAcentral is "long non-coding RNA (GBAR_LNC002330)". Lineage: Eukaryota; Viridiplantae; Streptophyta; Magnoliopsida; Malvales; Malvaceae. The record is from RNAcentral.
CCGGAGCCUAUUACAGUAACAGUGUAAACGGUAACGGUCUGGGCCUGAGCUCUAUUCAAUACUAGUACAGUCAGGGCCUAGCUUAUGCCUAAAAUAGUAUAAUCAUAAAACAGGUAUGCAACCCAACCCAAUCCAACCACUACUCACCAACUCUAUCCCCUGGUACACAUCAUGUGGGGAUAUAAAUAUCGACCCACCCAUCCAAUACACAUCAAUGGUAGCCCGAUUGCCGUGCUACCUCAACAAGAC